Molecule: non-coding RNA, 75 nt
Organism: Myotis davidii
Lineage: Eukaryota; Metazoa; Chordata; Mammalia; Chiroptera; Vespertilionidae
Source: Rfam
GGCAGUUCUCGAGUGAUGCACCCUGGAAUCGGGCUCCCCUCUCUCUGGUUCUGGGUACAUCACCAGAGAACCACA